Molecule: transfer RNA, 87 nt
Filed under: Thermochaetoides thermophila DSM 1495
Lineage: Eukaryota; Fungi; Ascomycota; Sordariomycetes; Sordariales; Chaetomiaceae
Description: Chaetomium thermophilum var. thermophilum DSM 1495 tRNA
Rfam family: tRNA
About the family: Transfer RNA (tRNA) molecules are approximately 80 nucleotides in length.
Source: Rfam by way of RNAcentral
GCCCGGUUAGCUCAAUCGGUAGAGCGUGAGACUCUUAAGGAAUCUCCGUAAAUCUCAAGGUUGCGGGUUCGACCCCCGCAUCGGGCU